Molecule: ribosomal RNA, 406 nt
Filed under: uncultured bacterium
Lineage: Bacteria
Description: partial 16S ribosomal RNA
Rfam family: Bacterial small subunit ribosomal RNA
Source: RNAcentral
GACGAACGCUGGCGGCAGGCUUAACACAUGCAAGUCGAGCGAGCGGCGGACGGGUGAGUAAUGUCUGGGAAACUGCCUGCUGGAGGGGGAUAACUACUGGAAACGGUAGCUAAUACCGCAUACCAUCAACUGUGCCCCGAUGGGGUUAGCUAGUAGGUGGGGUAAUGGCUCACCUAGGCGACGAUCCCUCGCUGGGCUGAGAGGAUGACCAGCCACACUGGAACUGAGACACGGUCCAGACUCCUACGUGAGGCAGCAUUGGGGAAUAUGGCACAAUGGGCGCAAGCCUGAUGCAGCCAUGCCGCGUGUGUGAAGAAGGCCUGCGGGUUUUAAAGCACUUUCAGCGAGGAGGCGUUACUCGCAGAAGAAGCACCGGCUAACUCCGUGCCAGCAGCCGCGGUAAUUC